UACGGAGGGGGCUAGCGUUGCUCGGAAUUACUGGGCGUAAAGCGCACGUAGGCGGCGAACCUAGUCAGACGUGAAAGGCCUGGGCUCAACCCGGGAAGUGCGUUUGAUACUGGUUUGCUAGAGUCCGGAAGAGGGUAGUGGAAUUCCCAGUGUAGAGGUGAAAUUCGUAGAUAUUGGGAAGAACACCAGUGGCGAAGGCGGCUACCUGGUCCGGUACUGACGCUGAGGUGCGAAAGCGUGGGGAGCAAACAGG
Molecule: unclassified non-coding RNA, 253 nt
Filed under: uncultured Rhodospirillales bacterium
Lineage: Bacteria; Pseudomonadati; Pseudomonadota; Alphaproteobacteria; Rhodospirillales
Description: contains 16S-23S intergenic spacer region
Rfam family: Bacterial small subunit ribosomal RNA
Source: RNAcentral